ACGUAGGGUGCGAGCGUUAAUCGGAAUUACUGGGCGUAAAGCGUGCGCAGGCGGUUUCGUAAGACAGAGGUGAAAUCCCCGGGCUCAACCUGGGAACGGCCUUUGCGACUGCGAAGCUAGAGUGUAGCAGAGGGGGGUAGAAUUCCACGUGUAGCAGUGAAAUGCGUAGAGAUGUGGAGGAAUACCGAUGGCGAAGGCAGCCCCCUGGGCCACUACUGACGCUCAUGCACGAAAGCGUGGGGAGCAAACAG
RNAcentral lists this ribosomal RNA (251 nucleotides) under uncultured prokaryote. RNAcentral describes it as "partial 16S rRNA". It matches the Rfam family "Bacterial small subunit ribosomal RNA", at positions 525 to 775 of the family's 1533-position model. The record is from RNAcentral.